AGAUGUUUUGGGACUACAGCUCCCAUCAUCCCUAGCUGGUCAGGAGUGAUGGGAAUUGUAGUCCCAAAACAUCU
Podarcis lilfordi (Lilford's wall lizard) is the source of this 74-nucleotide non-coding RNA. NCBI's taxonomy places the organism in Eukaryota, Metazoa, Chordata, Lepidosauria, Squamata, Lacertidae. The record is from the annotation of a GenBank genome assembly.